UGCAGUCGUACGCUUCUUUUUCCACCGGAGCUUGCUCCACCGGAAAAAGAGGAGUGGCGAACGGGUGAGUAACACGUGGGUAACCUGCCCAUCAGAAGGGGAUAACACUUGGAAACAGGUGCUAAUACCGUAUAACAAUCGAAACCGCAUGGUUUUGAUUUGAAAGGCGCUUUCGGGUGUCGCUGAUGGAUGGACCCGCGGUGCAUUAGCUAGUUGGUGAGGUAACGGCUCACCAAGGCCACGAUGCAUAGCCGACCUGAGAGGGUGAUCGGCCACAUUGGGACUGAGACACGGCCCAAACUCCUACGGGAGGCAGCAGUAGGGAAUCUUCGGCAAUGGACGAAAGUCUGACCGAGCAACGCCGCGUGAGUGAAGAAGGUUUUCGGAUCGUAAAACUCUGUUGUUAGAGAAGAAUAAGGAUGAGAGUAACUGUUCAUCCCUUGACGGUAUCUAACCAGAAAGCCACGGCUAACUACGUGCCAGCAGCCGCGGUAAUACGUAGGUGGCAAGCGUUGUCCGGAUUUAUUGGGCGUAAAGCGAGCGCAGGCGGUUUCUUAAGUCUGAUGUGAAAGCCCCCGGCUCAACCGGGGAGGGUCAUUGGAAACUGGGAGACUUGAGUGCAGAAGAGGAGAGUGGAAUUCCAUGUGUAGCGGUGAAAUGCGUAGAUAUAUGGAGGAACACCAGUG
RNAcentral lists this ribosomal RNA (686 nucleotides) under Enterococcus faecium. Its description in RNAcentral is "bacterial SSU rRNA". It matches the Rfam family "Bacterial small subunit ribosomal RNA", at positions 56 to 714 of the family's 1533-position model. The record is from RNAcentral. Lineage: Bacteria; Bacillati; Bacillota; Bacilli; Lactobacillales; Enterococcaceae.